This 253-nucleotide ribosomal RNA is filed under the name uncultured bacterium. Its description in RNAcentral is "partial 16S ribosomal RNA". It matches the Rfam family "Bacterial small subunit ribosomal RNA", at positions 524 to 776 of the family's 1533-position model. The record is from RNAcentral.
UACGUAGGGGGCAAGCGUUGUCCGGAUUUAUUGGGCGUAAAGAGCGUGUAGGCGGCUUGGCAAGUCUGCUGUGAAAACUCGAGGCUCAACCUCGAGCUGUCGGCGGAAACUGCUUGGCUAGAGUCCGGAAGAGGAGAGUGGAAUUCCUGGUGUAGCGGUGAAAUGCGCAGAUAUCAGGAAGAACACCUAUGGCGAAGGCAGCUCUCUGGGACGGUACUGACGCUGAGACGCGAAAGCGUGGGGAGCGAACAGG